This 2166-nucleotide ribosomal RNA is filed under the name Triticum aestivum (bread wheat). Its description in RNAcentral is "partial small subunit ribosomal RNA". The record is from RNAcentral. Lineage: Eukaryota; Viridiplantae; Streptophyta; Magnoliopsida; Poales; Poaceae.
UCUUUCCUUAUCUUCAUCACUAAGGCAGCCUAGCACGCUAGACCUCCCUCCCUCUCUCGUUUCCCCUGCCUCUCCCCUGCUGCUCCGCCGCUUCUCUUUCUUUCUCUCUCUCUCUCUCUCUCUGUACCUCUCCUCCAACCCCGCCCCUUCCCUGCUGCUUUGCCGCCGCCCGUCCUCGUUAGCUGCCGUGCCGCCCUCCUCUACCACUUCUCCACCGCGACUGUUGCGAUUUCGUGCGCGGAGUGAUUGGGCGAGCGCGACCUUCCCUACGAAGGCGACUCCGCGUCGAGUUCCAUGCCCAUCUCCCUUCUCCACGCCACCCCUACCAUCACCUCGACGCGGGGCAUGCCAGCUCCUCCUCUCCCCUUCCCUUAAUCCAGAUCCGUGGAGGUGGUCGGCAGGAACGCCAUCGACCUUAGGGUUGAGCAGUGGCGAUCAUCCCAGAUCAGAGUCAUCCGGCAUCGCUCGAGGGAGAUUACAGCGAUUUCAUGAUUGUGGGAGAUUCCUUGCUCUUUUGGGCCUGUGGAAGUGGCUACUUGUGGAGGUUGAUUGAUUUGGUUGGUUCGUUGCCACGAGAGUGACGGUUUGGAGAUAUGUUCUUGUUUUUGGUACAUGUUCAAAUACUGACAUAAAAAUAUAAUGUGAUAAAUUCAGAUACAUCUUUUUAAAUAGGCGAUAUGAUCUUGUUUGAUUUCUCUACAAGAUCUCAGAUAGCCAACUAGCAUCAUUCUUAAAUCAAAAGAAAGAUUGUGAUCCGCGCAGUUAUGAUAUGUCCUCAUAGUGAAUUUAAAACAUGAAAACUGUAACCUGAAGCUUUGAGCUUUAUCACCUGAUCUUUUCUGUUUAUAAUGAACACCAAGCUAUAAAUCUUCACGUGCCUUUCUUGUUUAAGGUUGUCAGUCGAUCUACGCGCAGCUGCGGCUCCGUGUCCUGACAAGGUCUCUAUGGAUAACAAGCGCAUUGAGUAUGUCGCCCUCCUGCUCGUCCGCUUCCUCGACAUCCUCUAGGACCUACACGGCCCCCACGCCCGCGAGUUCAUACAUCUGGUCUACUUCCGAGAUCCGCAUACCAUCUGUUCGAUGAUAUUCCCAUACAGAUUGUUUGGUUCUGUUUCUACUAUACAGGUGCUUAAUCUUGGUGUGGAUUGAGGCAUCACAAUUUUGUUAGGCUAGGGUAUUCAAGAUCAGGACACACAUCAUGGUGAGCUCCUUGGUCAUCAGCUGAUCCAUCACCGAGGAUGUGUUGCCAGCAAUGUAAGUCGCCAUCAUGAGACCUGGCUUCUCCCCCAGCCUUCUCUUCUUGUUGACAAGGCUCGACGCUGCGCCUCCUUGCGACCCCUGUGGCGAUGCACGGCGCUGCUACUCCCCUAGGACUCAUCUAGAUGGUUUUUUCCCUAAAUUUUUCACAUCCUUCAGAUAAACUUUUCUUACUGAUUUUUUUUACUGUUUGUUGGUAACUGAUGUUUUAAAGUUGAAGCAGCCAAUGUUUUACAGAUCGAUAUGUACCCUCUGUACUGAAUAAAUGGGUGUCUCAAUAGAUGGAUUGGGUCAAAGUAUGUAUAUAUACCACACUUGAGGUCAGUUGUGUUUUCUCAGGUUUGAAUGAUGACUGUUUUCAGAAACUUCUUCCGAAUCUAGGUCAUAGGCUGCGACUGAAGAUGCAACAACAUACCUCAUUCUGCUAUGAUGUUAGCUUCCUGCUUUAGUUACCAGGCAAAAUUUCUUGCGCUUUGUGCCUUCGUGUUUCUCGUUCACAGCUGAAUGAUGAUUGGGGAAUUCCUUUUAAAUGUGGUUAACAAUAAGGAUGCAAUCGCCUAUAAUUAGCUUGCUUUUCUAUUGCUAAGUAACUUUCUUAUGCCAUCAUUUUCCGAGUAUUUUUAUGUUGCAGGUAUCUUGUCCAGAGCCAAUGGAGACAAGCAACACCAUGCUGCUGCUAUAUCUUAAUGGUCUUUCUUUCACAAUAGUGAUGUACUUUUUAUACGUUAGGCAGUGGUAACCUUCCUUCUUUUGAUGAUGUUAUACUACUUAGUUUUGGCAUACACCAAUGUACCAGCUUACUUCUGUUUCACUUAUUUUGCACUUAGCCGAGCUUGUUACUUUGAAUCUCAUGCAAUACCAUUACAUAGUAUAAAUAAGAAAGUGAAAGGGACGCCUCCCACCUGGCACC